Syngnathus typhle (broad-nosed pipefish) is the source of this 1309-nucleotide long non-coding RNA. RefSeq lists it as uncharacterized. The transcript has 12 exons. Lineage: Eukaryota; Metazoa; Chordata; Actinopteri; Syngnathiformes; Syngnathidae. The record is from RefSeq and is a predicted model, not a curated record.
CAAGACCGCGACGCUCAUUCUUGCACUCACCACUGACAGCGAGAGCCACGUCGCUUCGGUCCACCUGCUGCGCCGGCCGUACAACAGCGUUUAAAAGUGACAAGCGUCUAGUUGCACUUUGGGAGUGUUCCCAUCUUGCAAAAGUUUGCAGAAGCUAGCGUUAGCAGUUAGCGUCUUCAACGACCACCAAAACGCAUUUAUCUGGCGUGCAACCAAACAAUUGAAGCAGUUAACGGUGGCAACGUCUGGACGCCAGCGCCGUUUGGCCGAAGGUGCAAACCCUCAAAACGAGCCCGUCAUGGCCGACUGAUUUUCUGGUCCAAAAUGGCCGUGUUGCAGUUCCCGCAUGGCUUCAUGAGACACUUGCAGACCAUCGAGCUGUGGUAGGAGAGACGUCCCGCACUGCCCUCCCUUCGUCACUGGUAGAGCCAAAGGACCUACUUUCUGCAGCGUGGAUCUGCAAGGUUUUGAACCUGUGGAAUCAUCAACAUGCUGACAGGUGACCACUUAUUACAAACUUGGUAUUGUUUAAAAGCACAUGCCUGUUGCCUCCCUCUUCCUGCAGUGCACAUUCCAGUAAGGAUGCAGUUGGAAAGUCCGCCACCUGCUGACCAAAGGUGUCCAUCCUGGAGAAAUUUUACAACAUUUCAAGAACUCUGCCUGUGCACCAGCGACCAGCUGCUUCCAGUCUACAGGCAAAAGUUGCAAAUCCUGGUCCAGAAAGUGAAACUCUUUGCCACAGUUUGUCUUCAGCCUCUGAGCUCUUUCACCUAGGUCUAUUCUGCCUGAAGAGCCCUCUGCUGUGUGGCGCACCAUUAAGUACCUGCUUGUAGCGGCAGCCGAGGACUAGAGCAAAGCUGCACACCAGCAACACUUUAGUCUUCUUGUUGCAACCUGAGAAGAAGGAACUAAAUCAGCUUCCUGGUCAAUACAUUAAUACCUGAUGCCAUGAAAACCUCUAUUUGCGCACUGGUCCAUGCAUGGAGUGACAUGUGUCCCACCGGCCGACCACUCGUCCCACCGGCCGACCACUCGUCCCACCGGCCGACCACUCGUCCCACCGGCCGACCACUCGUCCCACCGGCCGACCACUCGUCCCACCGGCCGACCACUCGUCCCACCGGCCGACCACUCGUCCCACCGGCCGACCACUCGUCCCACCGGCCGACCACUCGUCCCACCGGCCGACCACUCGUCCCACCGGCCGACCACUCGUCCCACCGGCCGACCACUCGUCCCACCGGCCGACCGCCAUUCCACUUGUUACUUUGUUGACUCUGCAAAAGAAAUAAAGCUUUAUUACAAAUAA